GUCAAGUUAGUUUAAUUAAAACAUCAGCUUGUGGAUUUGAAAAUGAAAGACAACUCUCACUUGACC
This 66-nucleotide transfer RNA is filed under the name Rapana venosa (veined rapa whelk). RNAcentral describes it as "tRNA-His". It matches the Rfam family "tRNA". Rfam says of the family: Transfer RNA (tRNA) molecules are approximately 80 nucleotides in length. The record is from RNAcentral. Lineage: Eukaryota; Metazoa; Mollusca; Gastropoda; Neogastropoda; Muricidae.